This 89-nucleotide transfer RNA is filed under the name bacterium. Its description in RNAcentral is "tRNA-Ser". It matches the Rfam family "tRNA". From Rfam's summary of the family: Transfer RNA (tRNA) molecules are approximately 80 nucleotides in length. Their secondary structure includes four short double-helical elements and three loops (D, anti-codon, and T loops). The record is from RNAcentral. RNAcentral also lists the same sequence under 1 other name.
GGAGAGGUGGCUGAGUGGACGAAAGCGGCCGACUCGAAAUCGGCUUCCGCCUUGUGCGGACGCAGGUUCGAAUCCUGCCCUCUCCGCCC